RNAcentral lists this ribosomal RNA (253 nucleotides) under uncultured bacterium. Its description in RNAcentral is "partial 16S ribosomal RNA". It matches the Rfam family "Bacterial small subunit ribosomal RNA", at positions 524 to 776 of the family's 1533-position model. The record is from RNAcentral.
UACGGAGGGUGCGAGCGUUGUCCGGAUUUAUUGGGUUUAAAGGGUGCGUAGGCGGCCUAUUAAGUCUGGGGUGAAAGCCCGCUGCUCAACAGCGGAACUGCCCUGGAUACUGGUAGGCUUGAGUACAGACGAGGUUGGCGGAAUGGACUGAGUAGCGGUGAAAUGCAUAGAUACAGUCCAGAACCCCGAUUGCGAAGGCAGCUGACUAGGCUGUUACUGACGCUGAGGCACGAAAGCGUGGGGAGCGAACAGG